UAGCGUACUUGUCUUUUAGAUGUACAUUUUAUCUAUUGAGGCCUUUAACACAACUACAAACUAUUUGUUUCUCAACUAGAUUAGACAUUUAUUUUUUAGGGUGAAUGUCUUAGAUGUCUCUCUAUUUGACGCUGGCAAACAAAUUAGUUAAAUAAGGUGUUGAUUAGUGGGACAUCUAAAACUUUCUGGGAGGUAAGUAUUCAGGACUGGAGUUGUAGGCUAAUACUGCUCUACCACAUGGUAUAAUUUCAUAAACAUGAUUACAUGCCUCAAAAGCUAAAACCAAUCUGAAUUCCUGACCCUUUAUGCACUUUGUAGGUAUUUAUCUGGAGAGAGGAACAAAGACGAAAGGAAAAGUGCCAUCUAAAACAACAGGCAGACAGUUCAGAAGAAACGGGUUGCGUUCAACCUACAUGUGGCCACUCUUCUGUGCAAAGUGAUGGAUUUUCAGUGGAAUUUCUGAAAUCCUCUCUUUGAAUCCUGGGAUGGAACAUCAUCUGGAGCAGAAUUGUUCUUUUUUGAUCGCAAGUUUGUUGGACUUGUUGUUUGGCCAUGUUGGUAUGUUCAUGAAGUGAUAAAAGUGAUGUGGGUUUUAAGAAAUGUUUUUAUAUGACCCUGUUGGUCAAGUUAUAGUUAUAAUUGUAUUUCUUUGUGUGAAGGGCCAUGAUGGCCAAUAAGUAAUUUAAAAACAU
Megalobrama amblycephala (Wuchang bream) is the source of this 692-nucleotide long non-coding RNA. RefSeq lists it as uncharacterized. NCBI's taxonomy places the organism in Eukaryota, Metazoa, Chordata, Actinopteri, Cypriniformes, Xenocyprididae. The record is from RefSeq and is a predicted model, not a curated record. The transcript has 2 exons.